CACGAUCGCCAGGAAUUUUUUUUCAUCCGAGAUUUAUUUUAAUCACCCCCUCUUUUUAGAAUUUAAAAAUUCUUAUUAAUUAUUUUGAUUUUAAAUGUUUUUGCGAAAAAAUGAACUAGGGCCGUGGCUAUUCGCUGUCUUUUGAGGAUAACGACUCCCCCUUCCCCUCCCUCGGCGGCUGCGACUCGUGACGCGGCUAUUCGUCAAGAGGAAAAAAAAACCCCGCCCCCUUUUACGUUUUUUUUAUUAUUUUUUUACCGCGCUCCGACACACCAAACUAAAAGGAUGGAUAGUUUUAUUUCCUCUUUUAAUCUGACGGUGGCUACAAAGAGGAUACUGCAAUUUUUUGUGCCCUCGCUCCCUUUUUUUUUUUCGGAUUGGGAGGGAAUUGCGUGUGCGUGGUAAUGCACUGCCUGGGACAGGUGCCAGCUUAAAGACAAAAGAUGUGAAAUAGACUGCAGAGAUAGCAAAUGGCAGCGGACGGGGGAGAGGAAAAAAAAAAAAAAAACCCAAAAAACGCGAAAAAAAAACCCUUGCGGGAUUCCUGACUUUGCCGUGGCACAAGCAGAAUAGCUGGCGAGGAGGCUGCAAGGUGAACUCCGUCUUUCUCCGGUCCCCAAGGCAGCUGGCCAACCAACCUGGAACAGGAAUCCACGGAAGAUGAAGGGUUAACGCUAUGGCUGCGAAACGCUCCCAC
This is a long non-coding RNA of Spea bombifrons (plains spadefoot toad), 697 nucleotides long. RefSeq lists it as uncharacterized. The transcript has 3 exons. Lineage: Eukaryota; Metazoa; Chordata; Amphibia; Anura; Pelobatidae. The record is from RefSeq and is a predicted model, not a curated record.